This 103-nucleotide small nuclear RNA is filed under the name Octodon degus (degu). The record is from RNAcentral. Lineage: Eukaryota; Metazoa; Chordata; Mammalia; Rodentia; Octodontidae.
GUGCUCACUUCGGCAGCACAUAUACUAAAAUUGGAACAAUACAGAGAUUAGCAUGGCCUCUGCGCAAGGAUGACAUGCAACUCGUGAAGCGUUCCAUAUUUUU